CGAAGCGUAUGGGGGGACCUCCCGGCGGAGUACGCGCAUCUGAUCCGUGGCUCGGAUCAUUUGCUUUUCGUCUGAUCCAGGAACAGGAGCGGCGUACAGGACGUCGUGAUAUAGCUGAGCCAUUUGGACCGCAGUUCCGCCCACAACACUCCCUCCCCCAUUGGACUGCAGUUCGGCGGCCAUGGUUCCUGUUCUUGAUGCGGCUGCUUAAAUCGCCUAUGGAGGACGGCGGUUUAGAGUUCCUGCUAGAUGUCGUCGACUGGUUUCUCCUUCGAGAUAAGUUAGCAGAUGGUUUGGAAAACCCAGAUCCAGUGCCACUUGCGUUAUUAACUGCUGGGCUAGCGGAUCCGACUGGUGAACAAGAACAAAUUUUACUCUGGUUGCGGGCAGAAUGUUGGGCGUGUGGCCGGUAGCCGACCGGACUGCGGUGGCCGACGGCGUCGAGAUUCAUCCCCCACUGCUUCAGCACAUUGACUGACCGGGUCAACCGAGAGGCCCCUGGGUGGACGAAGAGGUUGCGUCUAGGAACUGCACCCUAGAUAGGAGACCGUGUCCUUCUCUGAUGAGUGCAUUGGAGCAAACAAUAAGAAAAUAUGCCGAAGAACCUACAAGAAGUGUUAUCAAGCCUGAACCUGGCCUCACCUUCGACUCACUUGGUGAGGCGUACGGCUUCUACAAUCUUUAUUCAUGGGACUGGAUUUGGGAUCCGGUACGGCAAAAGAAGACUAAAUGCUGAAAGGACAAAGUGCUCGCGAACAGUGAAAGCCGAGUGCUCUCAAACAGUGAAAGCCGAGUGAAGAAUUUGAUGUGGACAAAUGGAAGCAAUAGGAUGCAAUACCAGUUCUUGGGUGAUGUGGUAUCAUUUGACACAACAUACAAAACCAACUUAUAUGACUUGCCUUUUGGUUUGUUCGUCGGAGUAAACAAUCACUUCCAAAGCAUUAUCGUUGCUGGUGUGGUGAUGAGUAGGUUGAGAAUUUUGACUGGGUUUUUGCUAAAGAAGGCGAAGGAAAGCUUGGGACCACUGUAGACGAAGAAGAGUUACUUUCAGGCGGAGUUCCAUAAAGUUGUGAAUCACAUGCUGAAAAAAGGAUGAGUUCGGGACAGCAUGGGGCAUGUUGCUUGAUAAGUACAACUUGACAUGCAUCCUUAUAUGACUCAGAUAUAUGAAAUACGUUCGAAAUGGGCGAAGCCAUACUUCAAAGGGGUGUUCUGUGCCAAGAUGACAAGCACACAACGGAGUGAGAGUGCGAACCACGUGUUGAAGUCUUACAUGCCGCCCGCAAGCCCGAUGCACAUAUUUGUGAGGCGGUACAUGCGACUCCAGUAUGAUCGUGAGCGUGAAGAAAUCUAUGAAGAGAAGCGGACAAUGAUAGGUGGACUAGUUAGGAGGACAAACUUGGCAAUAGAGCGAUAUGUAAGCAAAAUAUAUACAACUUGUCCUAUCGAUACUAACUGAUGGUCCAAAGUUUGUAAAUCUUCUUCUCCUAUUGCCCAGUGUGCUGGUCUGCUUGUUGAUAGUCAGCUUUGUGAUUUAUCUAACUGAAGACCCAAAGCUUGUAUGUUAUUUUAACUAUGCAGUUAAAAUGAUAAUUAGGUUGUACAAGAAAACAGGGCAAUCUGCAGCAUGUUACAUGUUCAGACUGAGGCAAACUUAUAUACUAGACAUUUAUGUGUGUGAUAGAUAUGCAUACUGUCUAAAAUUAUGAAUUAUUUUUGGUCA
This is a long non-coding RNA of Triticum dicoccoides, 1723 nucleotides long. RefSeq lists it as uncharacterized. The record is from RefSeq and is a predicted model, not a curated record. NCBI's taxonomy places the organism in Eukaryota, Viridiplantae, Streptophyta, Magnoliopsida, Poales, Poaceae. The transcript is spliced from 4 exons.